Molecule: long non-coding RNA, 766 nt
Organism: Nematostella vectensis (starlet sea anemone)
Lineage: Eukaryota; Metazoa; Cnidaria; Anthozoa; Actiniaria; Edwardsiidae
Exons: 2
Source: RefSeq, a predicted model, not a curated record
UCCUCUAAUUUUUUUUCUUUACUCUUUCUCUUUUCUUGUUAUGCAAAAGGGAAUAUAUCUAUAAUUUAAGAUUUAUGAUUCUUACUUAGAUUACUUAAUUUUAAGUUUGAAAUCGUCCCUCACCUUCUCGGCCGAGACUAGCUAAGCUAUUUGCCGACAGUGUGAGUAUGUAAAAUAUUAUUUGUAAAAAGAAAAUAAAAACUGUUCUGUAUAUGAGAAUAUUUUUCGAAAUUUACUUAGGUAUGCAGAGGUUGCCGACUAUGACUGGAACUACUACAAUCAGUCUACGGGCGUCAUCGGCCACUUCACCCAGGUUGUAUGGAAAAACUUGUUACAACUCGGCGUCGGUGCUGCUAAGUACACGGCUGGAGGUUUGACGAAGACCUACAUUGUGGCCCGCUACGCUCCAGCAGGGAACGUGGUUGGACAAGCAAACUAUGACGCAAACGUACCGCCACUGAUAUAGGGCCUUCGAGACUACCAGUAAGACACCGCCGAGACGCAGACCAGAUCUUUAGUAUAAUAAUGAUCAAAACUAAAACGCUAGCCUAAUUGUAAUCAGAGCGCGCAACCCACCCCAACCCUCCCCUUUUUUGGCGGGUCAUUUCUUACUAACGAAUCUUCACAAUGUUUUUCCAUAUGAUACCUUUGACUGCACCAAUCCUAAGCCAAUCCUGGGUACGCGCCCUUUAAUUGUGUCGGGUUUAGGGUAUGUAAACAUAACACUGAUACUUAAUGCUUAAGGGAAUAAAAACAUUGAAGCAUC